Molecule: transfer RNA, 85 nt
Filed under: Candidatus Galligastranaerophilus faecipullorum
Lineage: Bacteria; Bacillati; Candidatus Melainabacteria; Candidatus Gastranaerophilales; Candidatus Gastranaerophilaceae
Also listed under: 1 other name
Description: tRNA-Leu
Rfam family: tRNA
About the family: Transfer RNA (tRNA) molecules are approximately 80 nucleotides in length. Their secondary structure includes four short double-helical elements and three loops (D, anti-codon, and T loops). Further hydrogen bonds mediate the characteristic L-shaped molecular structure. tRNAs have two regions of fundamental functional importance: the anti-codon, which is responsible for specific mRNA codon recognition, and the 3' end, to which the tRNAs corresponding amino acid is attached (by aminoacyl-tRNA synthetases). tRNAs cope with the degeneracy of the genetic code in two manners: having more than one tRNA (with a specific anti-codon) for a particular amino acid; and 'wobble' base-pairing, i.e. permitting non-standard base-pairing at the 3rd anti-codon position.
Source: RNAcentral
GGGCGAGUGGCGAAAUUGGUAGACGCGCUAGAUUUAGGAUCUUGUGCAGCAAUGCGUGGGGGUUCGAUUCCCUUCUCGCCCACCA